This 207-nucleotide ribosomal RNA is filed under the name uncultured bacterium. RNAcentral describes it as "partial 16S ribosomal RNA". It matches the Rfam family "Bacterial small subunit ribosomal RNA", at positions 568 to 774 of the family's 1533-position model. The record is from RNAcentral.
CACGUAGGCGGACUAUUAAGUCAGGGGUGAAAUCCCGGGGCUCAACCCCGGAACUGCCUUUGAUACUGGUAGUCUUGAGUUCGAGAGAGGUGAGUGGAAUUCCGAGUGUAGAGGUGAAAUUCGUAGAUAUUCGGAGGAACACCAGUGGCGAAGGCGGCUCACUGGCUCGAUACUGACGCUGAGGUGCGAAAGCGUGGAGAGCAAACA